Molecule: ribosomal RNA, 254 nt
Filed under: uncultured bacterium
Lineage: Bacteria
Description: partial 16S ribosomal RNA
Rfam family: Bacterial small subunit ribosomal RNA
Source: RNAcentral
UACGGGGGGAGCAAGCGUUGUUCGGAUUUACUGGGCGUAAAGGGCGCGUAGGCGGUCAGUGCAAGUCAGUUGUGAAAUCUCCGGGCUUAACUCGGAAAGGUCAACUGAUACUGCUCGACUAGAGUGCGGAAGGGGCAACUGGAAUUCUUGGUGUAGCGGUGAAAUGCGUAGAUAUCAUGAGGAACACCUGCGGCGAAGGCGGGUUGCUGGGCCGACACUGACGCUGAUGCGCGAAAGCUAGGGGAGCGAACGGG